This 119-nucleotide ribosomal RNA is filed under the name Pteropus alecto (black flying fox). The record is from RNAcentral. Lineage: Eukaryota; Metazoa; Chordata; Mammalia; Chiroptera; Pteropodidae.
GUCUACGCCCGUGACACACUGAACAAGCCCAAUCCCGCCUGAUCUUGGAAGCUAAGCAGGGUCGGGCCUGGUUAGUACUUGGACAGGAGACCACCUAGGACGACCAAGUGCUAUAGGCG